CUGAACCAGCCAAGUAGCGUGAAGGAUGACUGCCCUAUGGGUUGUAAACUUCUUUUAUACGGGAAUAAAGUGAGCCACGUGUGGCUUUUUGUAUGUACCGUAUGAAUAAGGAUCGGCUAACUCCGUGCCAGCAGCCGCGGUAAUACGGAGGAUCCGAGCGUUAUCCGGAUUUAUUGGGUUUAAAGGGAGCGUAGGCGGGUUGUUAAGUGAGUUGUGAAAGUUUGCGG
Molecule: ribosomal RNA, 227 nt
Filed under: uncultured bacterium
Lineage: Bacteria
Description: partial 16S ribosomal RNA
Rfam family: Bacterial small subunit ribosomal RNA
Source: RNAcentral